Molecule: non-coding RNA, 500 nt
Organism: Nelumbo nucifera (sacred lotus)
Lineage: Eukaryota; Viridiplantae; Streptophyta; Magnoliopsida; Proteales; Nelumbonaceae
Source: RefSeq, a predicted model, not a curated record
CCUCCGACGCCAAACAGUGAACUGUGAUUCCGUGAAUAGAUAAAGACCGAUGCCGAACAGAGAAAGAAAGGCCGACACCGUCCGUCCGUUCGUUUGUCAUCAAUCUCUCAUGGUCAACGCCUCACCGUUUUUUCUCCUCACAGAGGCACAAAGUCAGUGAGUCACAGCACAGGUUCAGGUUAUAGACUGCCAUCUUGUUAUGUGUUCGGAUCAAGAUUCAAGAGUCACUAUCUCGACUUUGUCUGUUGGAACUUGUUAUAAAGUUGGUAUGCGUUUUAUUCAUAUUUUUCCCUUUCUUUUCUUCCAUUCUUCUUUUUUUAGCAAUAAAGAACAUUACUCAGGUUUAUUCACUAUUCAUUUAUUUAUUUUCUUUGAUUUGGUAGACGGUGAUACUGUCAAACUGUCAAUUGAAAAUGGACAGCCCAGUAAUGUUUAGGGCCUACAUGCGCCUAGGUUUGUUACCAUACCAUAGCCUAGUAAAAUUCAGCCUGGUUUGGCUA